RNAcentral lists this ribosomal RNA (627 nucleotides) under uncultured bacterium. RNAcentral describes it as "bacterial SSU rRNA". The stretch from base 1 to 541 matches the Rfam family "Bacterial small subunit ribosomal RNA", at positions 338 to 873 of the family's 1533-position model. The record is from RNAcentral.
CCUACGGGAGGCAGCAGUGGGGAAUUUUGGACAAUGGGCGCAAGCCUGAUCCAGCAAUGCCGCGUGAGUGAAGAAGGCCUUCGGGUUGUAAAGCUCUUUUGUCAGGGAAGAAACGGUGGGGGCUAAUAUCUCCUACUAAUGACGGUACCUGAAGAAUAAGCACCGGCUAACUACGUGCCAGCAGCCGCGGUAAUACGUAGGGUGCAAGCGUUAAUCGGAAUUACUGGGCGUAAAGCGUGCGCAGGCGGUUUUGUAAGUCUGUCGUGAAAGCCCCGGGCUCAACCUGGGAAUUGCGAUGGAGACUGCAAGGCUUGAAUCUGGCAGAGGGGGGUAGAAUUCCACGUGUAGCAGUGAAAUGCGUAGAGAUGUGGAGGAACACCGAUGGCGAAGGCAGCCCCCUGGGUCAAGAUUGACGCUCAUGCACGAAAGCGUGGGGAGCAAACAGGAUUAGAUACCCUGGUAGUCCACGCCCUAAACGAUGUCUACUAGUUNUCGGGUUUUAAUUAACUUGUAACGCAGCUAACGCGUGAAGUAGACCGCCUGGGGGAGGUACGGUCGCGAAGAAGUAAACGUUACAAUAGUUAGUUAGAGGNGNGAGAGNGCGACGGACGACGACGAGGGAGGAGG